Molecule: non-coding RNA, 482 nt
Organism: Caretta caretta (loggerhead turtle)
Lineage: Eukaryota; Metazoa; Chordata; Testudines; Cheloniidae
Source: RefSeq, a predicted model, not a curated record
UUGUUCAUAAGCAUCUGGGAUGCAGUGAUGAUCUUGCCAACUCCAGCAGCAUCAGCUAAAUACACUAACCACACAUUGGCCAGACAAAUCUGUGUAAUGCAGAGGUCCAGAUGCAUUGGCUACGUGUUAUGGCAAGACAGUUAUUUCCUAAUACAUGACUCUAAAUUAGUUAUCAGUGGAUUUGCACAAAGCGCAACAUACUUAAAAUCAGGCAAGUACAGCUUGAAAUGUCCUCUUGGGCUUGGCUGGUGGUACUGGAAUGGACAUUGUUACUUUAUAGAAAGGAAUAGAACUCUGAGUUGGAUGGAAGCCAGGCUGUUUUGCAGCCAUUUUAAAAGAACAAGUCUGUUGCAGCUGGAAUUGUUGGCUGAAAAGGGCUGGCUACAAAAGAUGAUAAAACAGCCAGCAUGGAUAGGAAUGAAAUGGGAAACAUCAACAUCUGAGUGGCAAUGGGCAGAUGGAUCAAGAGUAAACACAGCUCU